RNAcentral lists this ribosomal RNA (497 nucleotides) under uncultured bacterium. RNAcentral's name for it is "partial 16S ribosomal RNA". It matches the Rfam family "Bacterial small subunit ribosomal RNA", at positions 28 to 507 of the family's 1533-position model. The record is from RNAcentral.
GAUGAACGCUGGCGGCGUGCCUAAUACAUGCAAGUCGAGCGAACAGACGAGGAGCUUGCUCCUCUGACGUUAGCGGCGGACGGGUGAGUAACACGUGGAUAACCUACCUAUAAGACUGGGAUAACUUCGGGAAACCGGAGCUAAUACCGUAUAAUAUAUUGAACCGCAUGGUUCAAUAGUGAAAGACGGUUUUGCUGUCACUUAUAGAUGGAUCCGCGCCGCAUUAGCUAGUUGGUAAGGUAACUGCUUACCAAGGCAACGAUGCGUAGCCGACCUGAGAGGGUGAUCGGCCCAAAUGGAACUGAGACACGGUCCAGACUCCUACGGGAGGCAGCAGUAGGGAAUCUUCCGCAAUGGGCGAAAGCCUGACGGAGCAACGCAGCGUGAGUGAUGAAGGUCUUCGGAUCGUAAACCUCUGUUAUUAGGGAAGAACAAAUGUGUAAGUAACUAUGCACGUCUUGACGGUACCUAAUCAGAAAGCCCCGGCUAACUACGUG